GACCCCUCAUGAAAUGCUUUAUGGUUACAAACCUGUCUUUUAUGGAUAAGCCCUGCGAGGAGAAAACAGAUGGUGAAGACACUUGGAAGAACCAAAGCGAACUCAGAAAAACUGCGCGGCAGCUCUUACUGGAGGAACAAGCAAAAAGUAAGCAAGCAUACGAUAACUGGCCUUACCAUGCAUAGAUGUAUGAUGUGGACGAAGUGGUAUUUAUUAAUUUAGUGUCCGAACACACAGGAAAUUCUACUAAAACAAAACCCAAGUACCGAGGCUCCUUGGUGAUAACCGAAGUGUUGCCUGCUGACACGUACAGAGUAGCAGAGCUGAACGAAAACACUGGAAAUAGGUACGCAACGACAGUGCACGUUUUGCAAUUUAAGGUGUGGUUGACAACAAGUAAAAUGCCUUAUCUAGACAACAAUGAAGGGUCAGAUGAAUCUGACCACCCCGUUGACCACCCCCUGGACCAGGAUCACUACGACAAGCCUUUGGCAGUUAGACGCCCACGCAGGCAACAAGUAGUACCUGCCAGAUUGCGCGAGUGCAUGCCAUAAAACAGUCAGUGUUUUCUUAUCUGUGAUUACAUUAACGAGGACGUUAAGAUUUCAGGACGGCCAAGUGUUAGCUAUUUCACAAGCUGCUAGCUAGCGCCCCCUACUUUGUACACCACAAUCUGUGGCCCGAGGCGAGCCUAGUGGUGGGAUAUUUUUGUUGUUGUUGAGUGUGUGUGUGCAAUUGUGCGAUGACGAGGCUGUACGAAUGUGAGCACGAGACUGUGGGUGUGUUCAAUAGAUGCCAUGUGUGAUUAUCCGUGCGACAAACCUGAGUCACUGCGUUGCUUCCUGUGAGCAUUCUUUCUCUUUCUUUUUUUUUUACUUAAUAAAGCCAUUUGCAUUCAAUCAAGCACCAUUGCAAUCUGUGAGACUAUGCUGUCGCCAACGUUACGGUACUCAGUUUUACACCCCACAUGCAAAAGGUAAGGACGUGAUGUUCUGAUAUGCUCCUAUUGAUGCUAAUAGAGUAAUCAAUUGUGGCUGAUUUAUGUUGGGUGGUUUUAUUUCAAGUUCACAUUCAGCACUGCCCAUAGUAUUCAUUCACAUGACAUUGCCAAGCUUGCAACAAAUUGUACAACUGCACAAAGUGUAAAUCAGAGUUGCAAAAAGUUGUUGGUUUUGUGUAUAGAGCAGUGUUACGUAUCACGUGGUUUGAGUGCACCUUGGAUCUGCCUGUGAAGUAUUCUAGAUAAAUAAAUGCACAUACAAAAUGACUCUAACUCCUUUUAGCACUUUGAACUGUUGUAGAUAUUCGGCACUUAGUAACUUUUCACUUAACCCCCCCCACUCACCGCGUCACUUUGCACAACAGGUAAGCACUGUGUUAAAUUUCAAUAUUAAAUGCACAUAUUAGAGAAACCUGCACAGAGGAAGCCGCCAAAAUGGAGAGAUCCGGACCAGGAUGGAGCUCCAAUUGAAGAUGUGACAAACAGUACAAACUUGCCACAGGAAGCUUCCCGUAAUUUGCCGUGGUCCUAUCAAAGAAAUUAAAACACAAGAAAGGGGAGAUGAUGAAAAGAACAGUGUCUGUAUAUCAUGGGAUCAUCACAGUACCAGCGGUCAUAUGAAACCAAGUAAGGGUGCGCGAAUUGUUAUGCUUGUUGUAGCUAACAAAACUGCGAAGGUGGAUGAGAAACAACAUUUGAGGUUUUAUAAAAUUGUUUUUACACACAGGUUUCUUCUGGAGUGGCUGCAUUUGAUGGAAUCACUGUAACCCUGCAAGAGGAGCCAACUACAUCUGUGGUUCCUAAACAUAACUAUGCUCUCAUGGAGACACCACGCACACUGCAGAGGAAGCUAGAUUGUUGUUCAGCAUAAGCUACCACUAAGAGAAAAAGGCUGAAGCUCAGCCAGCAACGAGAGCGUCGUCUCAAAGUUAAAGUGCAAACAUUCAGCAAGAUUAUCAACAACCCGUUGUCUCUUCUUUCUCUCGAACUUGUUUCUGAGGACGCUUCUGUUAUGCUUGAAAAGGCAGCUGUUCCUCUAGAAGUUAUCAAGCGUUUACUGAAGAAAACGCCAAUUGGACCCAGCAAGUCUGCGAAGUUGAGCGGAGAGAAGUUUUCCCCGGUAUUGCGUAUGUUUGCCCCAAGACUACAACUCUAUUCAAGCAAAGCUAAUGCCUACGUUAGAGAAACUUUUGGUUGCUCGUUGCCUCAUAAAUCAACAUUAACAAAGUGGUACAGUGCCCUAAAUAGGGAUCCUGGUUUUUACAGGAGAAGCAAUGGAUGCCAUUGAAGCAAAAUCUAGAAACUAGGCUACAAGGCAAGGAACUUCCUUGCAGCCUCUUUGUUGAUGAGAUGGCCAUAAGGAAGCAUGUUGAAUGGGACGGCAAAACUUUCAGGGGAUAUGUCAACAUAGGGACCAACAUGGAUGAUGACAGCAACAAUGUAGCAACAGAAGCCAUUGUCUUUAUGGUCGUAUCCCUCGACUCCCAUUAAAAAAUCCCUUGCGGCUAUUUUUUGAUCAAUAGCCUUUAUGGGAAAGAAUGUGCAAACCUUGUGAAGCUUUGUUUAAACAAGCUGCAUGAUGCAGGGGUACCUGUAGCAUCAUGUACAUGUGAACUGCAAAGUAAUUUCGCCAUGUUUGCAAAAUUGGGUGCAUCGAUUUAAAAUGGUUGUGUGAGAAACCCGUCAUUUCCUCAUCCAGCUACUCAGGAAAUGUGUACCACUUGCUCGAUGCCUGCCACAUGAUGAAAUUGGUACGAAACAUCUGGCUGCACUUUAAUGCCUGAAAUACACAUCUGGGUCACUAAUAGCAUGGAAUUAGAUUCGCCUGUUGCAUAAGCUGCAUGGGAUGGAAGCCCUUCAUGUUCCUAACAAAGCUGCCUGCUGUUUAUAUCGACUGGCAGAAGCAAAAAAUGGAGGUGAACCUUGCUGCCCAAAUGCUAAGCUCCAGCAUUGCCGAUGCUAUUGAUUUCUGCCGUGAAGACCUUUGGCUUUUUCAGUUCAGAGGAUCGGAAGCGACAGUGACUUUUAUCAGAUUAUUUGAUCGGCCGUUCGAAUGUCUUAACUUUCGCAAGCAUAUUUCUAAGGGGUUCAAAGCACUACUUCACCCUGGCAGUAAAGGCAUACAAACUGGUUUGAGAAGGCAAAAGACUACAUCAGUGGCCUUACUGACGCAUUAGGAAAACUUAUUUGUGAGACAAAUUGGAAAAUCGCCUUCCUUGGAUUCCUAGUGACCAUUGAGAGUACCAUGCGUCUUGCACGUUCACUCCUCCUUGGAAAAGCUCCGCCUUUGUUCUAUGUACAUACAUACAAGCUCUCUCAAGAUCACAUUAAACUCUUCUUUAAUGCUAUGCAUUCCAAAGGGGGCUUCAACAACCCCACAGUACCACAUUUUGUAGCAGCCUAUAAAAGCUUUGUUGUACAUGAUCAUGUAAAGGGUGGUCGAGGGAAUUGCACAUGCCUUGAUGACUCGCGAAUUACAUAUAUAAGCAGUCAGAUCAGUGCUCCAGAUGAACUUGAUGUCACAACAGAGAAAACAAAUGGUACCAAUAAUUCCCUAGAAAUUGUCAACUUUUCAGAGGAAAGUGAACGGAAUGUCUUCCAUCUUUAUCUAUAUAUGUGGCCAAUACUACUGGCUAUAUUGCUGGCUUGGUAUGUCGAAUGGCACAGUGAAGAAUAACUUACUCGCCAUGCCAGCUCGUUACAGUUUCAGAAACGUGCUCAAUAGCACUCUUGAACAG
Dermacentor andersoni is the source of this 3738-nucleotide non-coding RNA. Lineage: Eukaryota; Metazoa; Arthropoda; Arachnida; Ixodida; Ixodidae. The record is from RefSeq and is a predicted model, not a curated record.